Non-coding RNA from Schistosoma mattheei, 45 nucleotides. The record is from Rfam. Lineage: Eukaryota; Metazoa; Platyhelminthes; Trematoda; Strigeidida; Schistosomatidae.
AUUCAAUUGACGAGUCCUAAAUAAGACGAAACGUGCUUCUUAAAC